CCUGACUUACUUGGAUAACCGUGGUAAUUCUAGAGCUAAUACGUGACUAAAAACCUCGACUUCGGAAGGGGUGUAUUUAUUAGAUAAAAAACCAAUGCCCUCCGGGGCUCCCUGGUGAUUCAUAAUAACUAAACGAAUCGCAUGGCCUUGCGCCGGCGAUGGUUCAUUCAAAUUUCUGCCCUAUCAACUUUCGAUGGUAGGAUAGUGGCCUACCAUGGUGGCAACGGGUAACGGGGAAUUAGGGUUCUAUUCCGGAGAGGGAGCCUGAGAAACGGCUACCACAUCCAAGGAAGGCAGCAGGCGCGCAAAUUACCCAAUCCCGACACGGGGAGGUAGUGACAAUAAAUACUGAUGUGGAGCUCUUUAGGGUUUCACAAUUGGAAUGAGAAAAAUCUAAACCACUUAAACGAGGAACAAUUGGAGGGCAAGUCUGGUGCCAGCAGCCGCGGUAAUUCCAGCUCCAAUAGCGUAUAUUAAAGUUGUUGCAGUUAAAAAGCUCGUAGUUGAACCUUGGGCCUGGCCGGCCGGUCCGCCUCACCGCGUGCACUGGUUCGGCCGGGCCUUUCCUCCUGGGGAACCGCAUGCCCUUCACUGGGUGUGCCGGGGAAUCAGGACUUUUACUUUGAAAAAAUUAGAGUGUUCAAAGCAGGCAUUUGCUCGAAUACAUUAGCAUGGAAUAAUAGAAURGGACGUUGUGGUUCUAUUUUGUUGGUUUCUAGGACCCGCCGUAAUGAUUAAUAGGGACG
This 746-nucleotide ribosomal RNA is filed under the name Placopsis cribellans. RNAcentral's name for it is "SSU rRNA". It matches the Rfam family "Eukaryotic small subunit ribosomal RNA", at positions 130 to 891 of the family's 1831-position model. Lineage: Eukaryota; Fungi; Ascomycota; Lecanoromycetes; Trapeliales; Trapeliaceae. The record is from RNAcentral.